This 192-nucleotide ribosomal RNA is filed under the name ascomycete sp. HK-S225. RNAcentral's name for it is "5.8S ribosomal RNA". The stretch from base 38 to 191 matches the Rfam family "5.8S ribosomal RNA". Rfam says of the family: 5.8S ribosomal RNA (5.8S rRNA) is a component of the large subunit of the eukaryotic ribosome. It is transcribed by RNA polymerase I as part of the 45S precursor that also contains 18S and 28S rRNA. Functionally, it is thought that 5.8S rRNA may be involved in ribosome translocation. Lineage: Eukaryota; Fungi; Ascomycota. The record is from RNAcentral. RNAcentral also lists the same sequence under 5 other names.
AACUUUGCAGUCUGAGUAAACUUAAUUAAUAAAUUAAAACUUUUAACAACGGAUCUCUUGGUUCUGGCAUCGAUGAAGAACGCAGCGAAAUGCGAUAAGUAAUGUGAAUUGCAGAAUUCAGUGAAUCAUCGAAUCUUUGAACGCACAUUGCGCCCCCUGGUAUUCCGGGGGGCAUGCCUGUUCGAGCGUCAU